AGGGAGGGCCUCCGAGCCCCCUGAUUUAAGCCCACGGCCGCCCAGCCUCUUCCGGGCUCGCGCCCGCGGGGAGAAAAAAGAAACCUAAUGGCCCACCAGCCUUGCAGGUGUCCGGAACACGUGGAAAGGUAUUUUUUAGCUUACUUCUAGAGAACUUCUGGACUCGGUCACUGUUUGCGUAGCAGCAACUAGGUCUCUCUGUGUUGAACAAUCUUGUCUUGAAUUUCUGGCUUUGAACUCCUGGCCUCAAGUGAUCUUUCUGCCUUGAACUCCCAAAGUGUUGGGAUGACAGACAGUACAGUGGAUGAUUAAAUAUACCCAUCAUCUACCUUUGACAAUUAUCACCAACAGAUGGCCAGUGAUGAAAACUCGCUCUCUACAUUGAUCUCUAUGUUCGUUUCAGAACUUUGAGAGACAAAUGUGAAGAUGGGGUCUCACUCUGUUGCCCAGGCUGGAGUGCAGCAGCAUGAUCUCAGCUCACUGCAGACUUACUUCCCAGGCUCAAGUAAUCCUCCUACCUCAGCCUUUCAAGUAGCUGAGACUAUAGGUGCAUGCGACAAUGCUUGGUUAAUUUUUGUAUUUUUUCAUAGAUAUGAAGUCUUGCUAUGUUGCCUAGGCUAGUCUCAAACUUCUGGGCUCAAGCAAUCCUUCCACCUCAGCCUCCCAGAGUGCUGGAACUACAGUCAUGAGCCACUGUGCCUGGUCUCAUUUCGAAUUUUAAAAAUAAAUAGCUAGAUCUACCUUAUAUCUUUAUAUGAAAAUAAAUUCCAGGUGGAUUAAAACUUUGUUGACAGAGAACAAACAAUAAAAUUACUAAAGUAAAAUAAGUAAACAUUUACAUUUUCUUGGAGUGAGGGAAUUUCAGUGACAUGUUAAAAAUGCUAAAAACCCAAUGAAAAUGGCAGCACAGAUUUAUGCAUGUUAAAUAGUAGGAAAUGUAUACACUAAAUAUGGUACUUUACCUUGAAAAAGAUGAAGUUUGGAUGCAGAAACGGGGUCAGUGGAAUUUCCUCUUGUGAAUUCUUGUGUGAUGAUCUAAGAAGGGUUUUCUGAAAUUAGAAAAUUUUAACAGAGAUGUGAUGGUUUGUAGCACACAUAAUGAUCUGAAGUAGCUGGUAGAUGUUUGAUGUGUCUGCAGUAACUUUUGUGUAUUCUUGUUUGACUGUGUUCAGUUGGGUGCAGUGUUCUAGUUAUACCUAGUGUUUUACACAGAUAAAAUCACACAUAAGCAAGCAAAGAAAAAUUGCCUUGCACUCAAAUUAUUCUCUAAUACAUCAGUUGGAUUGGAGUAAAUUCUCAUUUUCAAAUAAGUGUCAUAGGAGAACUGACAGAAUAGUAAAGAUGUCUCCAUCUCUUCAAAGUAGCACUGAAAAAAUACACUGGAAAACUGUGGAAGUCUGACGGGUCACUCAACUUGCUCCCUGUGCCCCAGGAAACAUUCUGUGUCAUGGAUCUUCCUGGGCUAGAAGGAAUUUCCUUGAUGGAUUUCCUUAAUGGAUUUCCUUGAUGCGUAUGUACUGAUCCUUUCUACUUGUUUGUUAGAAAGGAUGAGGUAGAAUCAAACAUGCCUUUGAUAUUAAGCUUAUGUGGUCCAAACUGAAAGGGAAUUUUCUAGAGCGGUUUGUAUCAUCUGGAGAAUUCUCUUUUUUCUUUAAUUCAUUGGUUUUCCAGGUUGUUCACUGUGGGGACAUUUUUCUCUUC
This is a non-coding RNA of Callithrix jacchus (white-tufted-ear marmoset), 1701 nucleotides long. The record is from RefSeq and is a predicted model, not a curated record. NCBI's taxonomy places the organism in Eukaryota, Metazoa, Chordata, Mammalia, Primates, Cebidae.